Molecule: ribosomal RNA, 1224 nt
Filed under: marine metagenome
Description: bacterial LSU rRNA
Rfam family: Bacterial large subunit ribosomal RNA
Source: RNAcentral
GGAAGGCUAAUCCUCCCAGGGUGAGUCGGGAGCUAAGACGAGGCCGAGAGGCGUAGUCGAUGCACAACCGGUUGAUAUUCCGGUACCACUGUGAGCACGACCAGGCUUAACUAUUGUUGCUAAGGGGAUGCUAGGAGCCCGUAAAAAGGCACCUAGAGGAACCGACCCACAAUGGAGCGGCCAGCAAUGCGGGGACGCAGGAAGGUAGAUGAACCCACCCGAUGGUAGAGGUGGGGUAAGUAUGUAGGGCGGGUCCCAGGAAAAUCCGGUACCCACAAAGUCUGAGAUACGACGCCGACUCAAUUACGAGGAAGUCAUUGAUCCUAUGCUGCCAAGAAAAGCCGCUAGCGAGUUCUCACGGUGCCCGUACCCCAAACCAACACAGGUGGAUAGGUAGAGAAUACCAAGGCGAUUGGGAGAACUGUGGUUAAGGAACUCGGCAAAUUACAUCCGUAACUUCGGGAGAAGGAUGACCUCAUCAGAGUGAUGGAACGGCUUGCCGCUUCCUGAGCUCGAAGAGGUGUCACAAACCAGAGGGAAGCGACUGUUUACUAAAAACACAGCAGCGUGCUAAGCCGUAAGGCGCUGUAUACGCUGUGACGCCUGCCCGGUGCCGGAAGGUUACGGGGACGGGUUAGCCCAUUAGGGCGAAGCUCUGAACCUAAGCCCCGGUAAACGGCGGCCGUAACUAUAACGGUCCUAAGGUAGCGAAAUUCCUUGUCGGGUAAGUUCCGACCUGCACGAAUGGCGUAACGACUUCCCUACUGUCUCAACCACAGACCCAGCGAAAUUGAAGUACGAGUAAAGAUGCUCGUUAGCUACAGAAGGACGGAAAGACCCCGUGGACCUUUACUACAACUUGGUAUUGAUGUUUGACCUUCACUGUGCAGGAUAGGUGGGAGACUAUGAAACGCAUGCGCCAGUGUGCGUGGAGUCACCCUUGAAAUACCACCCUGUGUAUGUUGAACAUCUAACCUCGACCCGUUAUCCGGGUUAGGAACAGUGCCAGGCGGGUAGUUUGACUGGGGCGGUCGCCUCCCAAAGAGUAACGGAGGCGCCCAAAGGUUCCCUCAGCCUGGUUGGCAAUCAGGCAUUGAGUGCAAUGGCAGAAGGGAGCUUGACUGCGAGACUAACAAGUCGAGCAGGGUCGAAAGACGGGCAUAGUGAUCCGGCGGUUGCGUGUGGAAGCGCCGUCGCUCAACGGAUAAAAGGUACCCCGGGGAU